GACGAACGCUGGCGGCGUGCCUAAUACAUGCAAGUAGAACGCACAGUUUAUACCGUAGCUUGCUACACCAUAGACUGUGAGUUGCGAACGGGUGAGUAACGCGUAGGUAACCUGCCUGGUAGCGGGGGAUAACUAUUGGAAACGAUAGCUAAUACCGCAUAAUAUUGAUUAUUGCAUGAUAAUUGAUUGAAAGAUGCUAUUGCAUCACUACCAGAUGGACCUGCGUUGUAUUAGCUAGUAGGUGAGGUAACGGCUCACCUAGGCGACGAUACAUAGCCGACCUGAGAGGGUGAUCGGCCACACUGGGACUGAGACACGGCCCAGACUCCUACGGGAGGCAGCAGUAGGGAAUCUUCGGCAAUGGACGAAAGUCUGACCGAGCAACGCCGCGUGAGUGAAGAAGGUUGUCGGAUCGUAAAGCUCGGUUGUAAGAGAAGAACGGGUGUGAGAGUGGAAAGUUCACACUGUGACGGUAGCUUACCAGAAAGGGACGGCUAACUACGUG
Molecule: ribosomal RNA, 505 nt
Filed under: uncultured bacterium
Lineage: Bacteria
Description: partial 16S ribosomal RNA
Rfam family: Bacterial small subunit ribosomal RNA
Source: RNAcentral